GCGCGCCGAUGCCUCUGAGCCUCCUCAGGAAACUUCUCGGUCUGGAGCCCGUUGGUCACUGCAGGCUCAGCGGACCGAGGUUAGGACGGAUCGGCCUCUCUAGUCAGAGCGUGCAGUGGUGAUCAGAUCCCACCGGGAAGGCAGCAUAAUCGCGUGGUCCCAGCCUUCAAGCUGCCUGCGCCGCACAUCUUGGACGGAAUGCCAAUAGUCAACUGGACCUGCUGUGACGAUCCUUGGCCUGCAACUCAGCAGUUGGAGAUGGCAUUUGUCUGACUUAGAAGGCCGUUGUGUUUGUGAGAGCAUGUGAGUAAAUGCCAGAUAGCUAGGAUUACAGGAUGAAGCCGCUUGGAUGGAAAGCCAAGCUGGACUCAGUAUUACGGAAAAGACCCACCUGUUAACAGCAUCCCGGAAUACUUGGAGAGCCGGCCCUUGGUUCUGGACUUCACGCUUUUAUCGUUAACUGUGUGCUCUUCUGUGGACGGGUCGUGCCCUGCCGUCUUUUCAUCACCUUCUGAAAGGCAUCGAGGGUGGCCGGUUCCCGAAGUCCUAAAGUUAUCGCUACAGCUAACCGGUCCGUCCUUCCCUGUCUGCUGUGAUGUCAGCAUGCCCUGCGUGGGGUGAUGCAGGAUAAAGUAAACCAAGUUCACUAGUCACAUUCGGCCUAAGAAGUCGCCUUUAUUACUGCCCGGGCUACGCAGUGAGGCUGCUUCUCAUUGGCU
Molecule: long non-coding RNA, 719 nt
Filed under: Mus musculus (house mouse)
Lineage: Eukaryota; Metazoa; Chordata; Mammalia; Rodentia; Muridae
Description: predicted gene, 34655
Source: RNAcentral